Molecule: ribosomal RNA, 182 nt
Filed under: uncultured Gammaproteobacteria bacterium
Lineage: Bacteria; Pseudomonadati; Pseudomonadota; Gammaproteobacteria
Description: partial 16S ribosomal RNA
Source: RNAcentral
CGCGGUUGGGUUAGUCCGCUACGAGCGCACCCUUGUCCUUAGUUGCCAGCAUUUAGUUUCGGAUCUCGGAAGCGGGUGAAAACCAAGGGGCACGAAUCGUCUCUCGGGCCUUUAUGUAGGGUACACGUGUAGGGUUACAGGGUCGCACCGCGGGGGGGCAACCAAAAACUGUCACGGUGAUC